CACCUGCAGACGACCCAUUUGGGGAUAUUUUUUUGGAAUAGAUGGGAAACAGGUUUAUGCGUUUGCUGUUACCGCUUUACAGUUGGCAUUUUUUGUGUGGCAACUUUUUUGUCCGUGACGGAACAAAUUAAAAUUUGCAGUAUAAUUGAAUACAAAAAGUUAAAACGCUUGGCCAUUCCGUUUUGUUUGGAACUGUGGCAUUGUUGUGCGUGAUUUGUGAUGUUUACAUUGUUAACAUUUGUGUUAGUCAGUGUCAAUAAUUUGGGUGUUGUCCACAUGUAAACGCUACUAUUUAUAAACUAAUAAUUGAAAACGGAUUAUUAAAAUCACAUAUUAGUAAUUAUGGACCACUCUAGACCACCGCCGAUUGGGUUUGAGCUUCAGGGUGCAGAUCAAGGUAUGAAUUAAUUGUGUACAACACACAAACAAUUAUAUAUCUAUAAUUAUAAACAAACAGUAAGUUAGAAAAUAACUUGCAAAGAUUUUCAUAUAUCAUUUUAUCUAAUAAUAGAUGUUAUAGUUGUCUGAAUUUACAAUUUUUAUGGUCUAUGAAUUCACUAGUAAUGCUAGUUGUCAUGGUCAUUCUACUUUCUACUAAAAUUCUAGUCUUUUUUUGGUUAGUUUGUUACUGUUAGAAUAACAAUAUGUUUUAAGUAGGUACCCAGGUCUUGUGACAGCAGUGUAUUAGUUGUGUACCAGUCCAGUGAUAGUUCAAGGGUUCCAGGGAAAAGUUGAUAAAAAAGGGGGGUUCCAACCCCUGACUCUCCACCCCCCUUUUGAAUCUGACACUGGUAAAUUAAAUAUGCAGAUCAAUGUGAUCAGACACUUGUCAUUGGCAGAUCCAGAACUUUUCAUAAAGAGGGGCCCACUGACACUGCAAGAGAGUAUUUGCCCAUAUUGAUAUUUAUACAUUGUACAUGUACCCUGUAUCCUCUAUCCCCUAUUAUAUUAUGUUAAAUUGUUUUAAUUUUGAAAGUCACUUCAAAUAAAGUUUUUAUUAUUCAUGUUAUUAUGAUAUAUAUUAUUAAUUACUAUAAUUAAAUGUAUAUUUUUAUCAAAUUUAUUUUUCUGUAAUUUCAGCACAGAUUGAUGUAGGGUUUAAUCAGCCUCCACCACAAG
Molecule: long non-coding RNA, 1119 nt
Filed under: Mytilus galloprovincialis (Mediterranean mussel)
Lineage: Eukaryota; Metazoa; Mollusca; Bivalvia; Mytilida; Mytilidae
Source: RNAcentral